Molecule: non-coding RNA, 1072 nt
Organism: Arachis ipaensis
Lineage: Eukaryota; Viridiplantae; Streptophyta; Magnoliopsida; Fabales; Fabaceae
Source: RefSeq, a predicted model, not a curated record
AGUCACGGUAACAAUUCACAUACCCCAGCACUCUAAAAUCUUGAUACCUAUAUAUUUAUACAUAUAAAAAAAAUUUAACAUCUACACACUAGCAUUCGCCUCCCAAUUAACUUAAGUUAAUCCUAAUGUCACGAAUUUACUAUUGUAAACCUAAUUUCCCUUUACCCACAUCUUGUUACUGUGCAGCCACUCCCCCCUCCCUCUCCACUUUCAGCGCCGCACAACCCAUCCUCGUUGCAGUCUUCAACGGUCGUCACCAUCAACGGGAGUCAACGCCGCCGGAAAACCAAACAACGCCACUCGUGAGUACCUUUCCGCAGUCGCCCAAGCGUCGCCGCCUCUACUGCAUGUUUGAAGACGCGUCCAAUCGUCCGGCUUCCAACCCGAUGCCGCCUCCUUGCUUCGCCUUAACACAUGCCACGACUGAACUCUUCCGGCGUCGUGGAGUCACUAGCAAGCCCGUUGCUAAUCGGCCUCUACAUCCCCUCCCACCGCCGCUACCUGUCUCGCGUCCGAGCCCACCGCGCAGCGUGUCUUCCCUCCGGUGCUGACGCUGCACUAACAGGGAAGGCUCAUUGAAGACAUCGCAAAGGUGGUCAUCCCCACUUAUAAGCCCAAUAAAAAAGGCCUGCCUUGCACAUAUGCCUCUAUUUCAAUACAACCAAAUAGUUUUGAUUGUGGUGUAUACGCCAUAAAAUUCAUGGAGUACUGGAUCGACAGUGGGAAUCUGAAUGACUGGAAUUAUGACACCAUCAAAUAAUAUAGGUUGGAAAUAAUGCUUGACAUCUUUCUAUGUCAUAAAAAUUUAGCCAUUGGAGAUGCUUUGAAUGCCGCCGGAACCAACCAAUGAACAAACGUAAGGAUGUUAGGACACUAUUCACAGCACCUAGCACAAAGAGCAUGCUUCAGCGAGUUGUAGGUAAGGAUGGAAAAAGGUCAGGCAGUCUCCCAGGGGCCUGUAGCCUGGCCUGUGUUUGACUUGGCCUGGCCUGACCUGUUAUAAAAUAGGCACAUGUUCAGACUCUUAUAAAAGCCUUAUUAUGUUAAUAGGCCAGGUCCAAACUCACUAAUU